Non-coding RNA from Trichobilharzia regenti, 45 nucleotides. The record is from Rfam. NCBI's taxonomy places the organism in Eukaryota, Metazoa, Platyhelminthes, Trematoda, Strigeidida, Schistosomatidae.
AUUCAGCUGACGAGUCCCAAGUAGGACGAAAUGCGCAUCCUGGAU